UUCCCAGAGUGGACUGCUGAGAAGUGGGC
RNAcentral lists this non-coding RNA (29 nucleotides) under Rattus norvegicus (Norway rat). Lineage: Eukaryota; Metazoa; Chordata; Mammalia; Rodentia; Muridae. The record is from RNAcentral.